AUGUCUGGUGGCUCCAUGGAUUAUAACAGAGAAUAUGGCGGUCCAAAGGAAAUAGACCCCAAUGGUGUCAUCGAGAGCUACUGGAAUGAGAUUGUUGGUAACUUUGAUGAUAUGAAUUUAAAGAGUCUCUUCUUUGGGGCAUCUAUGCCUCAAAGGUUUUGAGAAACCUUCAGCUAUUCAGCAGAGAGCUAUUAUUCCUUGUAUUAAAGAUCCAAAAGGUAAUUCUAGCACUUGGAAAGUAUAUGGGAACAACUUGUCAUGCCUGCACUGGUGGAACAAAUGUUCAAAAUGAAAUGCAAAAAUUACAGGCUGAAGCACCACAUAUUGUUGUUGGUACACCAGGGAGAGUGCUUGACAUGUUAAAUAGAAGAUAUCUUUCUUCAAAAUGGGUCAAAAUGUUUGUUUUGGAUGAAGCAGAUGAAAUGUUGAGCCAAGGGUUUAAGGACCAAAUCUAUGAGAUUUUCCAAAAAUUGAAUACAAGUAUUCAGGUUGUGUUGCUUUCUGCCACAAUGCCAACUGAAGUGUUAGAAGUGACCAAAAAAUUUAUGAGAGAUCCAGUUUGAAUUCUGGUGAAAAAGGAAGAAUUGACCCUUGAAGGAAUCAGUUUUACACUAAUGUUGAAAGAGAGGAAUAGAAGUUGGAUACACUUUAUAACUUGUACAAGACACUGACCAUUAUGCCGGCUGUUAUUUUCCUCAAUAUAAGGUGCAAGGUGGACUGGCUCAUUGAGAAAAUGAAUGUCAGGGACUUUACAGUUUCUGCUUUGCGUGGCGACAUGGACCAGAAGGAAAGAGAUGUUAUCAUGAGAGAAUUCUGAUCAGGAUCAAGCAGUGUUCUGAUCACUCUGACUUGUUGGAUUGUGAGUUUGAUGUGCAACAAGUGUCUUUGGUUAUAAACUACGGUCUACCUACCAAUCGUGAAAACUAUAUUCACAGGAGUCAAUAUGAAAUUGGUAGAGGAAGUCGAUUUGGGAGGAAAGUUGUGGCUAUAAACUUUGUUACUAAAGAAGACAAGAUGAUUCUCCAUGACAUUGAGACUUUCUACAGUAAUACAGUGGAGGAAAUGCCCAUGAAUGUGGCUGGCCUUAUUUAA
RNA transcript from Carlito syrichta (Philippine tarsier), 1092 nucleotides. It is a transcript of the gene named eukaryotic initiation factor 4A-II-like, with no coding region annotated. The transcript is spliced from 2 exons. Lineage: Eukaryota; Metazoa; Chordata; Mammalia; Primates; Tarsiidae. The record is from RefSeq and is a predicted model, not a curated record.